CUAGAAAUGCCAGAACUAAUUCAGAAAGCUCAUCCUUAAGACUUCCUUCCUCUAGAACAACUAGUAAAGUUUCUCUCAGACAGGAUUUUUAGAGAAACAGAAAAAAAAUAAGAUACACACACACAAAUAUACACAUGCAAAGAGACAGACAGAGAUGGAGACGGAAAGACAAGGACAAGAAGAUGGAAUCUGAGCUAAUGGCAGAGACAUGGAACCAGUAGAGAAGAGACCCACUGUCUUCAGAGAGUGCUGACCAGGAAGAGGAGAAGCCUUGGGGACUGGAUCAGGUGUCUGUCCCUAGGUCCCCAUUCCUGACUCUUCUCCUGCCACCCUGAUCUGGGUGUAGCAUCAUAUUAGGUAAUUUGGCUGAAAAAACUGCUAACUUGGGAAAAUGUCCCCUGUCCAUAGGAGCAGGACAUCCCAGACUCAAGAAGCUCAUAAACCCACAAGCACUCUGUCCUUCAUCUCCCCACCACAGCCUCCUAGACAAGACCCCAAAUCACCCCACAUACUUUGCUCCCAACCCAAUGCCUGCUCCAGGCAAUCUCAUGUCUCCUACCCUAAUCCCUGGGGUUUGCCCUGCUCUCAGAGCAAAGUCUCCCCACCAGGAACAGCCACCAACCCAAACCCCAAGGAAUGGUCCAGAAUCUCAGGCCCUCCUGUGUCCCUGGAUCCCCAGCCCUGGUCCUCUGCCCCCUUCAAACCCACAGCCCAGCUCCCUCUCUUAGCCCAGUCCCUGGGCCCUCCUGCCAAGCCUGCCCUCCCUGACCCAGCACUCCCUCUGCAGAUGCUGUGAUUGCCAUCCAGUCCCAGACUGUGGGAGGCUGGGAGUGUGAGAAGCUUUCCCAACCCUGGCAGGGUUGUACCAUUUCGGCAACUUCCAGUGCAAGGACGUCCUGCUGCAUCCUCACUGGGUGCUCACUACUGCUCACUGCAUCACCCGGAACACUGUGAUCAACUAGCCAGCACCAUAGUUCUCCGAAGUCAGACUAUCAUGAUUACUGUGUUGACUGUGCUGUCUAUUGUACUAACCAUGCCGAUGUUUAGGUGAAAUUAGCGUCACUUGGCCUCAACCAUCUUGGUAUCCAGUUAUCCUCACUGAAUUGAGAUUUCCUGCUUCAGUGUCAGCCAUUCCCACAUAAUUUCUGACCUACAGAGGUGAGGGAUCAUAUAGCUCUUCAAGGAUGCUGGUACUCCCCUCACAAAUUCAUUUCUCCUGUUGUAGUGAAAGGUGCGCCCUCUGGAGCCUCCCAGGGUGGGUGUGCAGGUCACAAUGAUGAAUGUAUGAUCGUGUUCCCAUUACCCAAAGCCUUUAAAUCCCUCAUGCUCAGUACACCAGGGCAGGUCUAGCAUUUCUUCAUUUAGUGUAUGCUGUCCAUUCAUGCAACCACCUCAGGACUCCUGGAUUCUCUGCCUAGUUGAGCUCCUGCAUGCUGCCUCCUUGGGGAGGUGAGGGAGAGGGCCCAUGGUUCAAUGGGAUCUGUGCAGUUGUAACACAUUAGGUGCUUAAUAAACAGAAGCUGUGAUGUUAA
Molecule: long non-coding RNA, 1532 nt
Organism: Homo sapiens (human)
Lineage: Eukaryota; Metazoa; Chordata; Mammalia; Primates; Hominidae
Gene: KLKP1
Product: kallikrein pseudogene 1
Source: Ensembl